Molecule: ribosomal RNA, 251 nt
Filed under: uncultured prokaryote
Description: partial 16S rRNA
Rfam family: Bacterial small subunit ribosomal RNA
Source: RNAcentral
ACGGAGGGUGCAAGCGUUACUCGGAAUCACUGGGCGUAAAGAGCGUGUAGGCGGGUUGAUAAGUUUGAAGUGAAAUCCUAUAGCUUAACUAUAGAACUGCUUUGAAAACUGUUAACCUAGAAUAUGGGAGAGGUAGAUGGAAUUCCUAGUGUAGCGGUGAAAUGCGUAGAUAUUAGGAGGAACACCAGUGGCGAAGGCGAUCUACUGGACGAUAACUGACGCUGAGGCGCGAAAGCGUGGGGAGCAAACAG